Molecule: ribosomal RNA, 202 nt
Filed under: [Candida] sp. Levazot9
Lineage: Eukaryota; Fungi; Ascomycota; Saccharomycetes; Saccharomycetales
Description: Candida sp. Levazot9 partial 26S ribosomal RNA
Rfam family: Eukaryotic large subunit ribosomal RNA
Source: RNAcentral
CGAGUUGUAGAUUGCAGGUUGGAGUCUGUGUGGAAGGCGGUGUCCAAGUCCCUUGGAACAGGGCGCCCAGGAGGGUGAGAGCCCCGUGGGAUGCCGGCGGAAGCAGUGAGGCCCUUCUGACGAGUCGAGUUGUUUGGGAAUGCAGCUCCAAGCGGGUGGUAAAUUCCAUCUAAGGCUAAAUACUGGCGAGAGACCGAUAGCG